GACGAACGCUGGCGGCGUGCUUAACACAUGCAAGUCGAACGGAAAGGCCCUGCUUUUGUGGGGUGCUCGAGUGGCGAACGGGUGAGUAACACGUGAGUAACCUGCCCUUGACUUUGGGAUAACUUCAGGAAACUGGGGCUAAUACCGGAUAGGAGCUCCUGCUGCAUGGUGGGGGUUGGAAAGUUUCGGCGGUUGGGGAUGGACUCGCGGCUUAUCAGCUUGUUGGUGGGGUAGUGGCUUACCAAGGCUUUGACGGGUAGCCGGCCUGAGAGGGUGACCGGCCACAUUGGGACUGAGAUACGGCCCAGCCUCCUACGGGAGGCAGCAGUGGGGAAUAUUGCACAAUGGGCGGAAGCCUGAUGCAGCAACGCCGCGUGCGGGAUGACGGCCUUCGGGUUGUAAACCGCUUUCGCCUGUGACGAAGCGGGAGUGACGGUAAUGGGUAAAGAAGCACCGGCUAACUACGUG
RNAcentral lists this ribosomal RNA (468 nucleotides) under uncultured bacterium. Its description in RNAcentral is "partial 16S ribosomal RNA". It matches the Rfam family "Bacterial small subunit ribosomal RNA", at positions 28 to 507 of the family's 1533-position model. The record is from RNAcentral.